RNAcentral lists this ribosomal RNA (461 nucleotides) under uncultured bacterium. Its description in RNAcentral is "bacterial SSU rRNA". It matches the Rfam family "Bacterial small subunit ribosomal RNA", at positions 28 to 471 of the family's 1533-position model. The record is from RNAcentral.
GAUGAACGCUGGCGGCGUGCCUAAUACAUGCAAGUCGAGCGAACAGAUAAGGAGCUUGCUCCUUUGACGUUAGCGGCGGACGGGUGAGUAACACGUGGGUAACCUACCUAUAAGACUGGAAUAACUCCGGGAAACCGGGGCUAAUGCCGGAUAACAUUUAGAACCGCAUGGUUCUAAAGUGAAAGAUGGUUUUGCUAUCACUUAUAGAUGGACCCGCGCCGUAUUAGCUAGUUGGUAAGGUAACGGCUUACCAAGGCAACGAUACGUAGCCGACCUGAGAGGGUGAUCGGCCACACUGGAACUGAGACACGGUCCAGACUCCUACGGGAGGCAGCAGUAGGGAAUCUUCCGCAAUGGGCGAAAGCCUGACGGAGCAACGCCGCGUGAGUGAUGAAGGUCUUCGGAUCGUAAAACUCUGUUAUUAGGGAAGAACAAAUGUGUAAGUAACUAUGCACGUCUUG